RNAcentral lists this ribosomal RNA (236 nucleotides) under uncultured bacterium. Its description in RNAcentral is "partial 16S ribosomal RNA". It matches the Rfam family "Bacterial small subunit ribosomal RNA", at positions 118 to 354 of the family's 1533-position model. The record is from RNAcentral.
UGAGUAACCUGCCCUUCUCAUCGGAAUAAGCGUUGGAAACGACGUCUAAUGCCGAAUACGACCUCCUUUCGCAUGAUCGGAGGUGGAAAGCUCCGGCGGAGAAGGAUGAGCUCGCGGCCUAUCAGCUAGUUGGUGUGGGUAAUGGCCCACCAAGGCGACGACGGGUAGCCGGCCUGAGAGGGUGACCGGCCACACUGGGACUGAGACACGGCCCAGACUCCUACGGGAGCAGCAGG